GGAGUUGUGGCUCAACGGUAGAGCGCUGGCCUUGCACGUGUGAGGCACUGGGUUCAAUCCUCAGCACCA
This 69-nucleotide transfer RNA is filed under the name Ictidomys tridecemlineatus (thirteen-lined ground squirrel). RNAcentral's name for it is "Spermophilus tridecemlineatus (thirteen-lined ground squirrel) tRNA". It matches the Rfam family "tRNA". Rfam says of the family: Transfer RNA (tRNA) molecules are approximately 80 nucleotides in length. Their secondary structure includes four short double-helical elements and three loops (D, anti-codon, and T loops). Lineage: Eukaryota; Metazoa; Chordata; Mammalia; Rodentia; Sciuridae. The record is from Rfam by way of RNAcentral.